This 5125-nucleotide long non-coding RNA is filed under the name Sus scrofa (pig). Its description in RNAcentral is "lncRNA (ENSSSCG00040012873.1)". The record is from RNAcentral. Lineage: Eukaryota; Metazoa; Chordata; Mammalia; Artiodactyla; Suidae.
GAGGUCAGAUUACUAAUGUACCUAACUUUUACUUUUCAAUCGAGUAAGAUGUCAUUAGCUGUGUAACAGAAACCAAAACAAAAAUGAUAACAUUCAGUUAAUAGGAUUCAAAGCUGAAAAGAACCAUAAGACUAGGAGGAUAGGGGCUGAGUUGGCCACUGUCAAGUCCAGCCCUGUCCCCCAAGAGCCAGUUCCUAUUCUCUACCAUUUCUGCAUGUUUUUCUCACUACUGUGAUGAAAUAAAAUUUGUAUUUUAAGGCAGGACAAGAAAAAUAAAUCAUGAAAUUCUCUUGGUGUGUUUAUUUGGGCUUCCUCCCUCCCUCGUGUGCAGUAGUGGGCCUCUGCAUUACACAUUAACCAGAGCUCCUCAAAGAUGGGAGUGCCUACUAGACCGUAAAGAUCAAUAUUUUUCUUUCUUCCGGUGUUAGCAAUGUAACUUCUUGAAGAAUAGUGUUCUUGGAGUUCCCUGGUGGUGCAGCAGGUUAAGGAUCCAGCAUUGUCACUGAUGUGGUUCAAGUCACAGCUGUGGCACCAGUUCCAUCCCUGGCCCAGGAACUGCCACAUGCUGCAGGCACAGCCAAAAAUAAAAAAUAAAAAAGAACGCUCUUCUUUCCCAGCUUUGUAGUAGGUCAUGACUCCCUGCUUCCUUUGUAUGUGCUUACCUGUCCUGUGUAUCCUUGGUGAACUUUACAUAAAAUAUCGGUAUGUCAUUUUGAUGUACAAUCUUUUCUCUCAAAAAUGUAUAUGACUGUACCUUCGACUUCGAACAGGUGGAACAGUUCUCAGAGCUUUCAGAGAAUCUACUUUCCAGGUUAUAAUCCUCAAUUUGGCUCAAAUAAAAUUUGCUUUGUUUCUUCUUGAUAGUUAAUUGAAUUUUUGUAGACAGCUACAAUAUGGAUUCAGUUUUACAGUAAGAAUAGUAGAGUUUUACAAAAAUAUAACAAAGUCCCUCUGCUUUUUAUUAUGUAUAUCAAGAAUACAUUUGAGUUUAAAGUAGAAAAAUAAUACUUCUGUGAUGCUGAGAAAUUAAGUACAAUUCCUUUUGAGCACCAUGGAUGUCAGCAUACACAAACAUCUUUAAUGAAACUAAAUGUGGUGUUGACAAAUAAAGUGCUAUGAAAUUUCUUGUUUUGCUCCUUGUGGAAAUUCCUUUAAAAGUACAAUCUCUAUUGUAAUUAUGAACAUUAGUUUCAUCUCCGGAGAAUCUAAAAGUAAGAAUUUACAAACAGGGUUGCUGAUGAAACUUGUCUCGUUGAAGAGAGUAGAGACUGGUUUGAACUUUUUCAUUUCACUUUCUAAUAUUUUAUUUUUAUUAUAUUAUUUAAAAUAUCAGUCCAUGAGGGGUUGAAAAUUAAGAGAAAAAAAAAUUUUUUUAAGGCCACACCUGCAGCACAUGAAAGUUCCCCGGCUAGGGGUUGAAUUGCAGCUAUAGGCUCUGGCCUGCCCCACAGCUACAGCAAUGCUGGAUCCAAACCACAUCUGCAACCUACACCACACCUUGCGGCAACGCCAGAUCCUUAACCCACUGAGCGAGGCCAGGGAUUGAACCUGCAUCCUCACAGAGACUAUGUCAUGUUCUUAAUCCACUGAGUCACAAUGGGAACUCCCAAGAAAAACAAUUUUUCCUUUAGCACAGAAACCCUACUUUAGGCUCUACCUGGGAUCUGAAUAAAUGUGAAGCUGUGUGUGUACUCAGUAAAACAAAAAUAAAAAUUCGUUGGACACUCCUGUUGCCCCGGAUAACCUCAUAAACAUGAGGUCAUGUUCACAGAAGUAGCCAUAGCCAGCCAGUUCUGACUCCCACCCUUGCAGGCACAGGAAAUUCAGCCCCACAUUUCUCUCAGGGACCUCUCAGCUGCCAGGGAUCCAUCACUGGAUCAUACCUUCAUGUGCUUCAUCAGAUUCCUUGGCCCCAGCUUUUCCUGGGAACCUCGACUAUUUGCUCAAAUGGAAAGUGCUUGCAGCCAGCCAUCCCCUCAUUUCUUAAUACCUCUGGCUGCCUCAGCUCCCUGGAGGUCGAGGGCCUGCUGCUAGCUCCUUCUCCAUCAUGCCUGACAAUCCUGGAGUCUUGACAGCUCUGCACCUUGGUCCCACCCAACCCAACCCACAGGGCUCUGGCCCUUCUCACUGCUUCUGAAUUCCCUGAAGCACCAAGCUUAGGGUUUGGAGCCUGGCUUCCCACAAACAAGAAGGGGCUGGAGGGGAUCAGUGACCAAACCAGAAGUAGAGGGGUGAGACAGGAGACAAGAUGGGGCUGGCAAGCAAGUUCCUCUACCUCCUUCCCUACAAAGUCCUGAUACGUGGCAGGGUGUUGUCAAAAGAUUUUCCCACACACCUUAUUUUUAUUCUUCACUAUACCUGUGUGAUAAGUAUUACCAUCCCCAUCUUAUAAAUGAGUAAACUGAAGUUCAGGGAAGAUGAUAUUCAUCCUAAGCCUGAAUCAAAAUUUGUUACAUACAGGUAAUGAGUAGUCAGUCCAUCAGGACAGGUCAGGCCCAAAUGAAUCUAGGAUCUGCACCAGGAGGCCUCAGUAAGGGACAUCCACGCAUACAUAAUAAAUUCAGGUGUGAAAUAAUUCCAGAAGAAGGUGUUUAUAUAAUGAAAAGGUGUGAGUAGGCCCAUCUUCACUGAGAUCAUCUUCCUCCGGGAUUAAUUACCAAUGUGUGGUACUCUUCAAGCCUUGCACAUUUUUUUCUUUUCUUUUUAUGGCACACGUGGCACAUGGAAGUUUUCUGUCUGGGGGUCAAAUUGGAGCUGCAGCUGCUGGCCUACACCUCAGUCAUAGCAACACACGAUCCAAGCUGGAUCCAUGACCUAUGCCACAGCUUGCAGUAAUGUUGGAUCCUUAACCCACUGAGCAAGGCAAGGGAUCCAACCCACAUCCUCACAGACAACAUGGCAGGUUCUUAGCCCACUGGGCCACAACAUGAACUCCAAACCUUGCACAUUUUUGAUGGGGCAAGCCCUGGGCUUGGCUUGGCGUGGAUGACCUGGCCCUGGGUCCUCAUCCAGCUGACUGGUUUUAAAACACUUGCUUCAAAGUAUUUUUGUUGUUGUUGUUGUUGGCUGUAUGACUGGAGACUUUGUAGCUCUCUCAAUCUCAAUUCCCUUAAACAAAUGUGGGUGAGAAAAAUGCCUUCCUUGCAGAGUUUUUCCAUGACUCACAGAAUAUUUGGUAAACUACCACAUCAUGCAAAGAUUUGUUAUUACCUCACACUCCAUCUCCAGUGUCCAACAAAACCUCAUAUAAACUGUUGGUUUCUGCUGCUUCCCUCUUUCUACAUCCUGAGUUUGGUCUCCCAGGGGAUUGAAGGCAAGCAGGCCUAAAUCCCAAGAAGUGCAGCCCAGUUUAUUUUAUGAACCACAAGAUGCCCAGUCUUGGUUCUUGUAAGCCUGGAGAACUCAUACAAAAGUUUUGAGGCUGUGUUCAGGCCUGGUACAGAACAAGUCGUCCAGCUACGGGAGGAUGCAUGUCAGAAGCUCAGAGAGUGAAUUGGGGCUAUGGAUGAGGGACUGAGAACCUGAGGUCCGAGAAGGAGACCUAAUGAGGGUAAGUCUCUAAAGGGCUUCCAGGUGGAAGUUUAGGACUGAAGGGCCAUUAAAGUCAUAUAAUCUAGUGUCUCAUUUUGCAAACAAAAGGUAAAACAGAUCCACAGAGGGUAUCUGCUGUUCUGGUAGGUGGCCCUCCUAGGACUAGAACCCAGGUCUCCUGAUUUCUGUUUCAAUGCUUUUUAAAAUUGGUCUUUAGCUCCUCUACACUGCCUCCAGCCUGUGUCAAGAUUUUCCAGGACAGCAACCAAUUUAAACAGUCUCUGAGAUAUUUCUAUUUGUCAGAGCACAGGUCCCAGUCUAAGGUUCAGGUAAUACACUACACUCUCAAUCAGGAGAAGAGCCAAGCAGUGAGCCCAGGUCUCAUCCAUGCUCCUUGAAGAUGCUCUUGCAACAAGUUGGGAGAAGACCCUGCUAUCCUCACUUCUGCCAGUAGGGGACACACAUGGAGGAAGUUUAUCAGCUAUAAAGUCUGGCAGCUGCCAGCAGAGGGGAGGGCAGCCCACCUUGGUUUCCAGCCAGGGACCAGCAGGAAAAAGCCAGUCUGACUGCUUUUACUGUCUAGUAAAAUGAAAAUACUCACAGAUUUCAUUUGCUCUACCAUUUCAGAUUCCUUAGUGAGGAAGCUGGCUGGCUCCAGACAGGGCACUUGAAUUUAAAUCAUCACCAGGCAGUACAAGACAUGUAACACUGGGGAAGUUAUUCGGAUAUUUGGUUUCCACAUCUGAAAGUGAAGGGAGCCUCUGUGCCCCCUGUGGGGUUGUUGAAGGGCAUAGAUUAUCAUUUGCUUGUCACAUGGUUACGUAUUCACUGUGUAUUAGCCAGCAAUUAAUAGUGAUUUUACUUGAAUAAUGUAGCCCUUUGGUAAAUAUUUAUUGAGCACCUACUAGGCAUAAGGCCCUGAACCAGGGGCUCGGCAAAUAAAAUAAUGAACAAACAGUUCUUCAUAAAUAUCACAAUUAUUAUUUUUUAUGUCUUUUGUAUUUUAUCUAUUACUUUUUAUUUUUAUUUAUCUAUUUAUUUAUGUUGCUUUUUAGGGCUGUACCCAUGGCAUAUGGAAGUUCCCAGGCUAGGGGUCGAAUCGGAGCUACAGCUGCCAGCCUAUGCCAUAGCCCACAGUAACACCAGGUCCAAGCCAUGUCUGCAACCUACACCACAGCUCCUGGCAACACCAAAUCCUUAACCCACUGAAGGAGGCCAGGGAUUGAACCUGCAACCUCAUGGUUCUUAGUCGGAUUCGUUUCCACUGUGCUGCAACAGGAACUCCCUAUCUAUUAUCUUAAUAACAGUAACUUUAUAGUCUCCAUUUUUUUUGUUGUUGUCCUUGUUAUGAGGAAGCUCAGCACCAAAUUUGAAGGUCCAGAUUGGUUGCUCUUUUGUCCCUUAUGGCCGACAGAUUUUUGUUCUUUUUGGUUGGUUUUUAUAUUCUACUCAUAGUUUAAUAAGUCAUUGUAUAAAUCUUUGACCUCUCGUGUCCCUCCACAGCUAUGGGCUAUUGCCUUACUGACAGGAAGCACAGAUCAGAGAUUAGAGCACUUUGGGGAAAGAAGCACAUUAGCCCAAAAGAAAAAAAAAA